AUGCGGCCCCUGACUCUUCUGCCCCAGAGCCGCAGGCAUUUUCGUGAGGAAAAGAAGAGGCGACUGCCGCGCCAUGGAGUUCCUCAUGCAGCCGAUCCGCAGGUCGGGGAGAAUCUGGUGCCGGAAGGUUCGUCGGCGGAUCAUACAAGGCGAACUGUGGUGGGGGUGACGAUGCAGGAGGGCACGGUCUUGAGCGGCGACGAGCGGGUCUGUGGGGCGUCCGGAGCGGCGGCAAUGAGCGGCCAAGGGCGAAUCUGCAGCACUACGCAGGCGAUGGCCAUGAGCCGCGAAUGUCUAAUCUGCAGCGCGGCGCAGGCGGCAGUGGUGAGAAGGGACAGCUCGCCUCACACGUCUGAGCUGUCGACGGGGAAGAUAACUCCCGAGGCUCUGCUUCGAAUAAGAGGUUGCGGAUUGGUGCCGCUGGCCCAACCAGGGCACCUUGGCCAACCUGUGUAG
Molecule: ribosomal RNA, 456 nt
Filed under: Triticum aestivum (bread wheat)
Lineage: Eukaryota; Viridiplantae; Streptophyta; Magnoliopsida; Poales; Poaceae
Description: partial small subunit ribosomal RNA
Source: RNAcentral